RNAcentral lists this unclassified non-coding RNA (993 nucleotides) under Hevea brasiliensis (rubber tree). Lineage: Eukaryota; Viridiplantae; Streptophyta; Magnoliopsida; Malpighiales; Euphorbiaceae. The record is from RNAcentral.
UUUUCUUUUUUUUUUUUAAAUAAAAGUUGACCCAUUAACACAUUCAGAUGUUAAUAACAUUGCUAUCAUUCUCACCAAUAAGCCAGUUCCAUCAUUUUCAUGGCACACACAACAUGAAAAAAAAUUUCAAACCAAGAUUUAAUCACAAAAUGUGCAAAACCCUUACUGAUGUACCAUUAAUAAACAAUAAAUGAAUGCAGCCAGAGACAAUAAAUAUGAAGACAAGAUAAUGCAUGAAGCAAACCAACUCAAACUUUUGAAGAUCAUAGGACAUUUCCAACAAAAUAUUUAAGUGAACAUUGUAUAGCAAAAAAUUCAUCGUCUUGCACAUUAUGGAGUCUGAGGUUUACUGAAGAGAUUACUAAGGCACAAAAAACUACACCAGAGCAAAUAAUGUCAUUACAGAAUAUUUUGGACAUUCCUGCAAUCUUGUUGGGAUGCACACAAUUACUUCAAAAAUACUGUCUGUACACCAAAAAUAAAAUGAGAAAAAUCUAUAUUUAUAGCAUAGCAUCUUAAAGUUAGCCUAUUAGACUCAAACAGAAGUCAUGCCUCUACAAGUUUGGCUAUAUCAGUGUUGUUAGAAUUGUACGAUUUGACUUGAAUCCCUCCCGAGUGAUUUGAAUUUAUAGGACAAAUCGCAAAUAUACAUGAAUCAGGCAAAUCAAUACGAAUAGACCGACUCACCUUAUUCUUUCCCUAUUGCAUUUUUAACAGUAAACAAAUUUAAAAAUCAAACUUUAACUUUAAUCUUAGCAAGAAAGAACAAUCAAACCCAGCCACAAGUAAUCUGCACUAAGACUAAAAUAUAAAAAAUAUUAAAAAAAAAAAUUUACAUACAAUAAAUAAAACCAAAUGACUCUUUAUAUAUGAUUCAUCUAUGUCCUCUACUAUUUCGGAAUUCUCCCACUAUUCCAAUGCUUCCCCAAGCUAAUGGUGACUUGCCACGUACAAUUAUAACACUAUCUUCCCUAGAUUUUAUAAUUUAUAUUG